This is a non-coding RNA of Candidatus Atribacteria bacterium, 74 nucleotides long. Lineage: Bacteria; Pseudomonadati; Atribacterota; Atribacteria. The record is from Rfam.
GCGCCUGUGGCUCAAUAGGAUAGAGCAACGGACUUCUAAUCCGUAGGUUGGGGGUUCGAUUCCCUCCAGGCGCG